This 492-nucleotide ribosomal RNA is filed under the name uncultured bacterium. RNAcentral's name for it is "partial 16S ribosomal RNA". It matches the Rfam family "Bacterial small subunit ribosomal RNA", at positions 29 to 507 of the family's 1533-position model. The record is from RNAcentral.
AGUGAACGCUGGCGGUAGGCCUAACACAUGCAAGUCGAACGGCAGCACAGUAAGAGCUUGCUCUUACGGGUGGCGAGUGGCGGACGGGUGAGUUAUACAUCGGAAUCUACUUUUUCGUGGGGGCUAACGUAGGGAAACUUACGCUAAUACCGCAUACGACCUACGGGUGAAAGCAGGGGAUCUUCGGACCUUGCGCGAUUGAAUGAGCCGAUGUCGGAUUAGCUAGUUGGCGGGGUAAAGGCCCACCAAGGCGACGAUCCGUAUCUGGUCUGAGAGGAUGAUCAGACACACUGUAACUGAGACACGGUCCAGACUCCUACGGGAGGAAGCAGUGGGGAAUAUUGGACAAUGGGCGCGAGCCUGAUCCAGCAAUACCGCGUGGGUGAAGAAGGCGUUCGGGUUGUAAAGCCCUUUUGUUGGGAGAGAAAAGCAGCAGGUUAAUACCCCGCUGUUCUGACGGUACCCAAAGAAUAAGCACCGGCUAACUUCGUG